GGCAGAUCUAGAGGGAUGAAUAGGUAGUCA
This 30-nucleotide non-coding RNA is filed under the name Rattus norvegicus (Norway rat). The record is from RNAcentral. Lineage: Eukaryota; Metazoa; Chordata; Mammalia; Rodentia; Muridae.